UAUAUAUUUCCUCCGUCCGGAAAUACUUGUCAUCAAAAUGGAUGAAAAUAUAUGUAUCUACAACUAAAAUACAUCUAGAUAGAUCCAUUUCAAUGACAAGUAUUUUCGGACGAAGGGAGUAUACU
This is a non-coding RNA of Triticum aestivum (bread wheat), 125 nucleotides long. Lineage: Eukaryota; Viridiplantae; Streptophyta; Magnoliopsida; Poales; Poaceae. The record is from Rfam.